UCGGGAAUUUUGGGCAAUGGGCGAAAGCCUGACCCAGCAACGCCGCGUGAAGGAUGAAGUAUUUCGGUAUGUAAACUUCGUAAGAAUAGGAAGAAUAAAUGACGGUACUAUUUGUAAGGUCCGGCUAACUACGUGCCAGCAGCCGCGGUAAUACGUAGGGACCAAGCGUUGUUCGGAUUUACUGGGCGUAAAGGGCGCGUAGGCGGCGUGGUAAGUCAUCUGUGAAAUCUCCGAGCUUAACUCGGAACGGUCAGAUGAUACUGCUGUGCUAGAGUACAGAAAGGGCAAUCGGAAUUCUUGGUGUAGCGGUGAAAUGCGUAGAUAUCAAGAGGAACACCUGAGGCGAAGGCGGGUUGCUAGGCUGAUACUGACGCUGAGGCGCGAAAGCUAGGGUAGCAAACGGGAUUAGAUACCCCUGUAGUCCCUGAGCGGGCUGGCAAGGCGCAU
Molecule: ribosomal RNA, 447 nt
Filed under: uncultured bacterium
Lineage: Bacteria
Description: bacterial SSU rRNA
Rfam family: Bacterial small subunit ribosomal RNA
Source: RNAcentral